Molecule: small nuclear RNA, 107 nt
Filed under: Procavia capensis (Cape rock hyrax)
Lineage: Eukaryota; Metazoa; Chordata; Mammalia; Hyracoidea; Procaviidae
Source: RNAcentral
GUGCUUGCUUCAGCAGCACAUAUACUAAAAUUGGAACUAUGCAGAGAAGAUUAGCAUGGCCUUUGUGCAAAAAUGACCUGCAAAUUCAUGAAGCCGUCCAUAUUUCU